GGAGAGGUGGCAGAGCGGCCGAAUGCGCUACAUUGCUAAUGUAGUGACCUCUCACGGGGUCCGGGGGUUCGAAUCCCCCCCUCUCCGCCA
RNAcentral lists this transfer RNA (90 nucleotides) under Planctomycetota bacterium. RNAcentral describes it as "Planctomycetes bacterium tRNA-Ser". It matches the Rfam family "tRNA". From Rfam's summary of the family: Transfer RNA (tRNA) molecules are approximately 80 nucleotides in length. Their secondary structure includes four short double-helical elements and three loops (D, anti-codon, and T loops). Lineage: Bacteria; Pseudomonadati; Planctomycetota. RNAcentral also lists the same sequence under 1 other name. The record is from RNAcentral.